AUCUUACAUUGUUAUCUAGAAUAAAUUAGGCACCCACUCACUAAAUGCACGAUCGACCUCCUUGCUUUCUUUUUCUUUUUCCUUUUCUUUUAUCUUCCUCCUCGCACACAAUAUUUGACCCUGAUUUUCUCUCUUAUUUAUUUCACCUGCAAAAAACCUUCUCUCUACGGCCGCCAACUCCUUCUCCUCUCCAUCACCUUCAAUUCAUGACUCACCCAUAGUUUAUACUUAUCAAUGUCCUUUUUUCUUUUGGCAUUAAUUAUCUCUUCUACAAUUCUUUUGUUCUCCGCCGCCUCAGUCUCUUUCAAAAGCUCUUGCGCGGAAAAUCUUUGCCCUAUUUUUCCCGUUCUCCGAUAUUUGUCAUCGUUUAUUCCAAAACGUUUUUGCUCGCUCGCACGCAGUAACCCUUUUCUCCAGUUUCCCCUCGAUUUCAUCGAUCGAAAACAAAAUUGUCCGAACCCCAGCCACAAAGACCCAUGAUUAAGUAAUAUUACAUUAUUAAUAUAUAUGUGUAGCUGUUAGGGGGAGGGGGGCAGCUGGGAAUUCUUGAGAUGGUCGACGGAUCCGGAAGGAAUAUCGGAAUUUCUGCAAGUGGAGGAGGAGGCGCGGCGGAGCAGGUGGAGGAAAGAUGCGGUGGGAAGCGACGCUGGCGGAAGAGGCGGUGGCGGGAUUGGAAGUGGGCGGGAGUCAACGAUUGCAGGCCUCCCGCUCCCAUGGCUGUGUGGAACAGAAGGGAAAUCUUCUAUGAGAAUUGGGCGGCAGAGGAAACCGAAAUGAAGGAAGAAAAAGGCAGGAGUGGAGAAGAAGAGGGGCGGAGCGGCGGUCAGCAUUUGCGGCGGAAAAGGGAGAGAAGAGAACACAGUUGUAAAGGAG
This 873-nucleotide long non-coding RNA is filed under the name Erythranthe guttata (spotted monkey flower). RNAcentral's name for it is "long non-coding RNA (EGUT_LNC003531)". The record is from RNAcentral. Lineage: Eukaryota; Viridiplantae; Streptophyta; Magnoliopsida; Lamiales; Phrymaceae.